RNAcentral lists this ribosomal RNA (291 nucleotides) under uncultured bacterium. RNAcentral describes it as "partial 16S ribosomal RNA". It matches the Rfam family "Bacterial small subunit ribosomal RNA", at positions 32 to 314 of the family's 1533-position model. The record is from RNAcentral.
AAUCAACGCUGGCGGCGUGCCUAACGCAUGCAAGUCGAACGCGAAAGUGGAGCAAUCCAUGAGUAGAGUGGCAAACGGGUGAGUAACACGUGGGUGACCUGCCUUCGAGUGGGGAUAACGUCCCGAAAGGACGCUAAUACCGCAUGACAUGCUGUCUUUGAACAGAUGGACAUCAAAGCCGGGAUCGCAAGACCUGGCGCUUGAAGAGGGGCCCGCGCCUGAUUAGCUAGUGUGGGUAAUGGCUCACAAGCAACGAUCAGUAUCCGGCCUGAGAGGGCGGACGGACACACU